This 345-nucleotide unclassified non-coding RNA is filed under the name soil metagenome. Its description in RNAcentral is "partial contains 5.8S ribosomal RNA, internal transcribed spacer 2, and large subunit ribosomal RNA". The stretch from base 1 to 120 matches the Rfam family "5.8S ribosomal RNA", at positions 35 to 154 of the family's 154-position model. The record is from RNAcentral.
GAUGAAGAACGUAGCGAAAUGCGAUACGUAAUGUGAAUUGCAGAAUUCAGUGAAUCAUCGAGUCUUUGAACGCACAUUGCGCCCCCUGGUAUUCCGGGGGGCAUGCCUGUCCGAGCGUCAUUGCUGCCCUCAAGCACGGCUUGUGUGUUGGGCCUCCGUCCUCCUCCCGGGGGACGGGCCCGAAAGGCAGCGGCGGCACCGCGUCCGGUCCUCGAGCGUAUGGGGCUUCGUCACCCGCUCUUGUAGGCCCGGCCGGCGCUUGCCGACACAUCAAUCUUUUUUCCAGGUUGACCUCGGAUCAGGUAGGGAUACCCGCUGAGUUUAAGCAUAUCAAUAAGCGGAGGA